UGUGCCAGCAGCCGCGGUAUACGAAGGGUGCAAGCGUUACUCGGAAUUACUGGGCGUAAAGCGUGCGUAGGUGGUGGUUUAAGUCUGCUGUGAAAGUCCUGGGCUCAACCUGGGAAUUGCAGUGGAUACUGGAUCACUAGAGUGUGGUAGAGGGAUGCGGAAUUUCUGGUGUAGCAGUGAAAUGCGUAGAGAUCAGAAGGAACAUCCGUGGCGAAGGCGGCAUCCUGGGCCAACACUGACACUGAGGCACGAAAGCGUGGGGAGCAAACAGGAUUAGAUACGCUGGUAGUC
Molecule: ribosomal RNA, 291 nt
Filed under: uncultured Lysobacterales bacterium
Lineage: Bacteria; Pseudomonadati; Pseudomonadota; Gammaproteobacteria; Lysobacterales
Description: uncultured Xanthomonadales bacterium partial 16S ribosomal RNA
Rfam family: Bacterial small subunit ribosomal RNA
Source: RNAcentral